RNAcentral lists this ribosomal RNA (497 nucleotides) under uncultured bacterium. RNAcentral describes it as "partial 16S ribosomal RNA". It matches the Rfam family "Bacterial small subunit ribosomal RNA", at positions 28 to 507 of the family's 1533-position model. The record is from RNAcentral.
GACGAACGCUGGCGGCGUGCCUAAUACAUGCAAGUUGAGCGCUGAAGGUUGGUACUUGUACCAACUGGAUGAGCAGCGAACGGGUGAGUAACGCGUGGGGAAUCUGCCUUUGAGCGGGGGACAACAUUUGGAAACGAAUGCUAAUACCGCAUAAAAACUUUAAACACAAGUUUUAAGUUUGAAAGAUGCAAUUGCAUCACUCAAAGAUGAUCCCGCGUUGUAUUAGCUAGUUGGUGAGGUAAAGGCUCACCAAGGCGAUGAUACAUAGCCGACCUGAGAGGGUGAUCGGCCACAUUGGGACUGAGACGCGGCCCAAACUCCUACGGGAGGCAGCAGUAGGGAAUCUUCGGCAAUGGACGAAAGUCUGACCGAGCAACGCCGCGUGAGUGAAGAAGGUUUUCGGAUCGUAAAACUCUGUUGGUAGAGAAGAACGUUGGUGAGAGUGGAAAGCUCAUCAAGUGACGGUAACUACCCAGAAAGGGACGGCUAACUACGUG